GGAAAGGUGCAGGAGUGGUUGAACUGGCGGUCCUGGAAAGACCGUAUGCCAGAAAUGGCAUCGAGGGUUCGAAUCCCUCCCUUUCCG
Molecule: transfer RNA, 87 nt
Filed under: Parcubacteria group bacterium
Lineage: Bacteria
Description: tRNA-Ser
Rfam family: tRNA
About the family: Transfer RNA (tRNA) molecules are approximately 80 nucleotides in length. Their secondary structure includes four short double-helical elements and three loops (D, anti-codon, and T loops).
Source: RNAcentral